This 253-nucleotide ribosomal RNA is filed under the name uncultured bacterium. RNAcentral's name for it is "partial 16S ribosomal RNA". It matches the Rfam family "Bacterial small subunit ribosomal RNA", at positions 524 to 776 of the family's 1533-position model. The record is from RNAcentral.
AACGUAGGAGGCAAGCGUUAUCCGGAUUUACUGGGCGUAAAGCGCGUGCAGGCGGUUUGGUAAGUUGGAUGUGAAAGCUCCCGGCUCAACUGGGAGAGGUCGUUCAAAACUACCAGACUUGAGGGCGGUAGAGGGAAGUGGAAUUCCGUGUGUAGUGGUGAAAUGCGUAGAUAUACGGAGGAACACCAGUGGCGAAAGCGGCUUCCUGGACCGAUCCUGACGCUCAGACGCGAAAGCUAGGGGAGCAAACGGG